Molecule: unclassified non-coding RNA, 336 nt
Filed under: soil metagenome
Description: partial contains 5.8S ribosomal RNA, internal transcribed spacer 2, and large subunit ribosomal RNA
Rfam family: 5.8S ribosomal RNA (bases 1-120)
Source: RNAcentral
GAUGAAGAACGCAGCGAAAUGCGAUAAGUAAUGUGAAUUGCAGAAUUCAGUGAAUCAUCGAAUCUUUGAACGCACAUUGCGCCCGCCAGUAUUCUGGCGGGCAUGCCUGUUCGAGCGUCAUUUCAGCCAUCAAGCCCCCGGCUUGUGUUGGGGACCUGCGGCUGCCGCAGGCCCUGAAAAGCAGUGGCGGGCUCGCUGUCACACCGAGCGUAGUAGCAUACAUCUCGCUCUGGGCGUGCUGCGGGUUCCGGCCGUUAAACCACCUUCAUAACCCAAGGUUGACCUCGGAUCAGGUAGGAAGACCCGCUGAACUUAAGCAUAUCAAUAAGCGGAGGA